Molecule: long non-coding RNA, 2623 nt
Organism: Anastrepha ludens (Mexican fruit fly)
Lineage: Eukaryota; Metazoa; Arthropoda; Insecta; Diptera; Tephritidae
Exons: 2
Source: RefSeq, a predicted model, not a curated record
UAGAAACAAAAACUAAAAAUAAAAAUAGAAAUAAAAUAGAAAAAAGAGAAAUAAAAUAGAAACAAUAAUAAAAAUUGAAAUAAAAUUGGAAAUAAAAAAUCCAUAGCAAAUAAAAUGCAUUGCAAUUAAAACUACAGUUUACAUUUACUUGGUAAUAUUUAGAUAUGCAACUAAUGUAGUUAAACAUUAAUGAAAUUUAACGAAACACGCACAAAUAAAUUAUAAAUAGUGGUAUUUACAACAACAGAAAAGUAAAAUAAAAUAUAAAAAAAAUAAGUAACGACAAAAAAAAAAAAUUACUUAAAAAAUAAAAAUUCAUUGAUUUGAAAAAUUCAUUGAUAUUUCAAAUUCAUAAGAGCCAAUAGUUAUAUAAAAGAUUUAGCAAAACAUUUAUAAAAAAUAAUAAUUUAAAAAUAAUAGUAAUAAAUGAUAAACAAAGAAAAACCAAAAUGUUAAGCAAAACGUAAAAAAAAAAAUUAUUAUUAAAAAAAACAUUAUCAAAAAGAGAUAUCAUGUUGAAAAAUUAGAAAAAACAAAUAAAUUUUUGCUCAAAAAUUUAAAGUUCAAAGAUUGCGCUUUGAAACAAAAAACAAAUAAAAAUAUGCUUACGUGAAUUAUGCGAUUCAGCAAAAAAGCUGAAAUAAAAUAAAUGAAGUUGCAGUGAAUCGCAAAAAAAUAAACCCGAAAAAGCUGCAAAUAAAAAUUAAAAAUUAAAAAAUAAAUUAAAAAUAAAAAAUUAAAAAUUUAACAACAGUGCACAUCAUUAAUUAAAAACUAUUCCAAAUCGAAAGCAAUCGCUGCUAUUAAUUCUCCUAAAAAAAACAAAAAAAAAACCCGCUCGCCUUUUCCGUAAUUACGCGUCUCCUUCACCUUCGUUGUCGUCUCCGUCUUCGUCUUCGUGGUCGCCGUCAAAAUGCGUGUAAUCGUGUUAAAGAAAAAUCGCAGCAAUAAGCGCGGCACACCAACAACCGCACCGGCCACACGUGAGCUACCCAAAAAGUCACUCGCCAAAGUAAGUGAACAGUGUUUUUCUUGUUGUUGGAGAAGCAGCAAAUUUGCUUGUAGACGAAACGACUGAAGUUAGCGAGUAGAAGAAUGUAACCGAAUAUAUUAGCACUGGCAGUCCACAAAGAGCGGAGAGUGAACAGCAGUUUUUUAGUACAAAGGCCUGAAAAUAUCGUGCAAUAUACUCUCUCACACACACACAUGCACACAUACAUAUAAGGCGCCCAUAAUAGGUAUUUCGAUAUGUAUAAAUAUAUAAUGCACACACAAAUGUUUGCAUACCUACGGUAAGCUGGAGCAAAACACAUUCAAGUGUACGCAUAUUCAACGCCUUAAAGUAUGCAAAGGAAGCUUAUUAAGCAUUUAGUAGCAAAAAAAAAAACAAAACCAAAAAAAGAAGAAAAUUACCGGCGUGUGAGUUUGUGUCGAGUUGAAGGCCCUGACACACCUGACGACCGGUAAUCCACACCGAGCUGUAUGCCAAAAAAAUGAAAAAAAAUGGAAAAAUAAAAAAGGUACCCCCCUGAAGUGACACAAUAGCCAGUCAGGUAAUGACAGCCUGCUUGUUGUUGCUGCUGUGCGUUCUACGUUGCGUGUUAAUGUUGGGUUGUUGCAAGAUUACGUAGCACUCGUGGGAUUUUCCAAAUACUUGUUUAUCGGUUCGUAAUUUUUUUGGUAAGCCCACAUAAAUGCAAAGUACAAUAUUUCUGCCACGGGCUUACCUUUCUUCGGUCGCUCCCUCUUUGCGCUUGCCUUCUUCUUUUGCCGCUUUGCUGCUGCCUAUUAUUGUGAUACAAUGCGGCAUGACAACGGCAUUUGUUUAUCACUUAGUCAUACAUGGCUGCCCGCCCAGUCCGCACUUCUUCAUUGUUUGGGAAACCAGGAGUUCGGUUAUUUCCAUAUUCUGUGUUGCUGUAUGAGUGUGUGUGCGUGUGUGUGUGUGUGCGUGUAUGUUUGAUAAUUUUUGUGAUUUCCCAGUUGGUUACAUUAGAUACAAAUUUAUUUUACAUUUACUUUAUUUGCCAUGUUGAUGGGAGUUCUUUGCAGCGGUAUUAGUGUGCACUCACACUGGCACUUACUGAUUGGACCUGCAAUGAACCAUUAAUUUUAAGGAUUUUAAUUGUCCUACUGCUACGUAAUAUCCUCACAUGUACAUGGCUUGUGUAUGUGUAUGCGUGUAAAUAUAUUGUAAUGAAAUAAGUCGAAUGCGAUUUUGCCUGGCGUGAUUGAUUAAUGAAGGGCUCUCGGUUAAGCGCGAUGAUGGCUUGAGUGGCUGGCCAGCAGGAGCCAAUUUACGCAAUUAAUAUGUCAAAUGAAAGUGAGCCAAUGAUUACGAUGUUACGAUAAAUAGUAGUGGGGUACAAAAUUUUACAAGCGGAAUUAAUAUUGACAAGGGUCCGCUGGAGCGUAAAUGAAACGAAAUAACAAAACAAAAACUGGUGCCUGACGUAGCUUAAAAACCGGAAAAGCUAGCGAUGAUUUAUUUAGUUGGCAAUGCGUUGCACAAGUUGUCUGUUGCAGGCUUCAAUUUCAAAAGCGUUACUUAGCGUGGAUUUCUGCUAUGAAAACGCUUCUUCAAAAAAAAAAAAAAAAAAAAAAGAUGUCUCUUGCUAGGGGC